CCUGGUUGAUCCUGCCAGUAGUGAUAUGCUUGUCUCAAAGAUUAAGCCAUGCAUGUCUGAGUACAGACCGAUCUAAGGUGAAACCGCGAAUGGCUCAUUAAAUCAGUCAUAAUUCCUUGGAUAGUGAAAAACUUCCUCGGAUAACUGUGGAAAAUCCAGAGCUAAUACGUGCAACUGAGCUCCGACCUAGGCGUGAGCGCGGGAAGAGCGCAUUUAUUAGAUUCAAAACUGACCGGCGUAGUCCUUCGGGAUGCGCCGUUUGUCGAAAGUUUGAUGACUCCGGAUAACUUAGCCGAGCGCUACGGUCUUCGUGCCGGCGCCGUAUCUUUCAAGUGUCUGCCUUAUCAGCUUUCGAUUGUAGGUUAAACGCCUACAAUGGCUGUAACGGGUAACGGGGAAUCAGGGUUCGAUUCCGGAGAGGGAGCCUGAGAAACGGCUACCACAUCUAAGGAAGGCAGCAGGCACGCAAAUUACCCACUCCCAGCUCGGGGAGGUAGUGACGAAAAAUAACGAUGCGAGACUCUUCCGAGGCCUCGCAAUCGGAAUGAGUCCAUUUUAAAUCCUUGGACGAGGAUCCAUUGGAGGGCAAGUCUGGUGCCAGCAGCCGCGGUAAUUCCAGCUCCAAUAGCGUAUAUUAAAGUUGCUGCGGUUAAAAAGCUCGUAGUUGGACUUCCUAGAUCCAUUUCGCGAGCGAGUCGCUUGUUGAUCUAACGUCUCGUGUCGGUCGCUGGACGAAGUCUCGUUUGUGGCGUUGUGUUUGAGUAUCUUUCUUUCGGGAUCGAGCUCUGCUSCGUUUACUUUCGAGCGCCGAGUCUAGAGGACGGCUUGGCGUUGUCUUCGAGUAUUGCUCGUUCGCGUUUGGUACAAUUAAAAUUUUGUCGGCUCGCUCGGAGUGCUCUUUACCGAGUGUUCCAGGGUGGCCGACACGUUCACUUUGAAAAAAUUAGAGUGCUUAAAGCGGGCUUAUACGUGGCCUGAAUGUCUGUGCAUGGAAUGAAGUAACAGGACCUCGAUUCUGUUUUUUUUGUCGGUUUUAUUGAACCGAGGUAAUGAUUAAAAGGGACAGACGGUGGCAUUAGUAUUGCGGCGCUAGAGGUGAAAUUCUUGGACCGCUGCAAGACUAACUACUGCGAAAGCAUUUGCCGAGAAUGUUUUCAUUAAUCAAGAACGAAAGUUAGAGGAUCGAAGGCGAUCAGAUACCGCCCUAGUUCUAACCCUAAACUAUGCUAACUAGCGAUCCGCCGAGUCAUUCCCACGACCCGGCGGAAGCCCCAGGGAACCAAAGUCUUUGAGUUCCGGGGGAAGUAUGGUUGCAAAGCUGAAACUUAAAGGAAUUGACGGAAGGGCACCACCAGGAGUGGAGCCUGCGGCUUAAUUUGACUCAACACGGGAAACCUCACCAGGCCCGGACAUCAUAAGGAUUGACAGGUUGAGAGCUCUUUCUCGAUUUGAUGGGUGGUGGUGCAUGGCCGUUCUUAGUUGGUGGAGUGAUCUGUCUGGUUGAUUCCGAUAACGAACGAGACUCUACCCUACUAACUAGUCGGCGGAUCGUAACCCUGAGAUGGUUAGUUUGUAUAGGGCGGCUCGCCUAGACGUUGUCGUCGGCUCUUUUCGCGGGUUUAUCGCGCGCGUAGGGUUUCCCGGAAGAGUAUCCUUCGUGGUAUUUCUCGAGGGUUUCUCCUUGCACGCGUUCUCUCGCGGGGGGUCCGACUUCGUCGAAGCUUCCGUCUGAUUACUGCUACUGCUGGGGGCGUCCGUCGCAUUGUAUCUUCUUAGAGGGAUCAGCGGCGUAUAGCCGCACGAGAAAGAGCAAUAACAGGUCUGUGAUGCCCUUAGAUGUUCUGGGCCGCACGCGCGCUACAAUGUAGAGACCAGCGUGCUUUCCCUCUCCGAAAGGAGCGGGUAACCCGUUGAAACCCCUACCCGAUUGGGAUUGGGGAUUGCAAAUAUUUCCCAUAAACGAGGAAUUCCCAGUAAGCGCGAAUCAUUAAUUCGCGCUGAUUACGUCCCUGCCCUUUGUACACACCGCCCGUCGCUACUACCGAUUGAAUGAUUCAGUGAGGGCAUCGGACUGGCGCCUUCGGUUUAGUAACAUAGACCUUAGGCUGACGGAAAGAUGUCCGAACUUGAUCAUUUAGAGGAAGUAAAAGUCGUAACAAGGUUUCCGUAGUGAA
Molecule: ribosomal RNA, 2174 nt
Filed under: Munnopsurus sp. 2 MR-2008
Lineage: Eukaryota; Metazoa; Arthropoda; Malacostraca; Isopoda; Munnopsidae
Description: SSU rRNA
Rfam family: Eukaryotic small subunit ribosomal RNA
Source: RNAcentral